This is a non-coding RNA of Mycena crocata, 103 nucleotides long. NCBI's taxonomy places the organism in Eukaryota, Fungi, Basidiomycota, Agaricomycetes, Agaricales, Mycenaceae. The record is from the annotation of a GenBank genome assembly.
UCGGACGUGGUGUAUGGCACACACCCGCUUCAACUGUUAAUUCAUUUGAGGGAUAAGUGAAAGCGGGAGAAGUUAGAACCGGGUUCGAUUCCCGGCGUCCGAA